Molecule: ribosomal RNA, 1394 nt
Filed under: unidentified archaeon
Lineage: Archaea
Description: 16S ribosomal RNA
Rfam family: Archaeal small subunit ribosomal RNA
Source: RNAcentral
CUGCUAUUUGGUUUCCACUUAGCCAUGCAAGUCUGGGGGUUCUUCGGAGCCACCGGCAGAAGGCUCAGUAACACGUCGACAACCUGCCCUUAGGCCGGGAAUAACUACGGGAAACUGUGGCUAAUACCCGAUAGAGAAAAAAGGCUGGAACGCGUUUUUCUCCAAAGCUUCGGCACCUAAGGAUGGGUCGGCGGCGGAUUAGGCUGUUGGUGAGGUAAAGGCUCACCAAACCUGAGAUCCGUAGGGGGGAUGAGAGUCCUAACCCCCGAGAAGGGCACUGAGAUAAGGGCCCUACCCCUAAGGGGUGCAGCAGGCGGGAAACCUUUACAAUGCACGCAAGUGUGAUAAGGGGGAACCAAAGUGCUCGCUUGUCGGGCGGGCUUUUGCCAAGCUUAAAAACCUUGGCGAAUAAGUGGUGGGCAAGACCGGUGCCAGCCGCCGCGGUAACACCGGCGCCACGAGUGGGGAUCGCGUUUAUUGGGCCUAAAGCGUUCGUAGCCGAAUAGGUAAAUCUUUUGUGAAAUCGUUGGGCUUAACCUAGCGACUUGCGAAAGAGACUGCUUAUUUAGGGACCGGGAGGAGUCAGAGGUACUCUUGGGUUAACGGUUAAAUGUGAUAACCCCAAGAGGACCACCGGUGGCGAAGGCGUCUGACUAGAACGGAUCCGACGGUGAGGAACGAAGGCUGGGGGAGCAAAACGGAUUAGAUACCCGAGUAGUCCCAGCAGUAAACGCUGCGAACUAUGUGUUGCGCAAUCUCCGUGAUUGUGCACUGCCGGAGCGAAGGUGUGUAAGUUCGCCGCCUGGGGAGUACGGUCGCAAGGCUGAAACUUAAAGGAAUUGGCGGGGGCGCACUACAACGAGUGCGGCGUGCGGUUUAAUCAGACUCUACACCGUGAACCUCACCAGGAACGACGGCAGGAUGAAGGUCAGAUUGAAGGUCUUACCUAACGAGCCGAGAGGAGGUGCAUGGCCGUCGUCAGCUCGUGCCGUAAGGUGUCCAGUUAAGUCUGGCAACGAGCAAGACCCACAUCUACUGUUGCAAACGGGCUCUCCGGAGUGACCGCGCACACUGUAGAGACUGCCUCGGAAACGAGGAGGAAGGUGUGGGCAACGAUAGGUGGUAUGCCCCGAAUUUCCUGGGCUACACGCGCGCAACAAUGGUAGGGACAAUGGGCUACGACUCUGAAAAGAGAAGUUAAUCCUCGAAACCCUACUCUAGUUCGGAUUGAGGGCUGCAACCCGCCCUCAUGACGCCGGAAUUCGUAGUAAUCGCUUGUCAUCAGCAAGCGGUGAAUACGUCCCUGUGCCUUGCACACACCGCCCGUCACACCACUCGAGUAGAGUUUGGGUGAGGCUUGUGCUCUAGCACAUUCCGAACCUAGGUUCUGCGAG